Molecule: unclassified non-coding RNA, 345 nt
Filed under: soil metagenome
Description: partial contains 5.8S ribosomal RNA, internal transcribed spacer 2, and large subunit ribosomal RNA
Rfam family: 5.8S ribosomal RNA (bases 1-120)
Source: RNAcentral
GAUGAAGAACGCAGCGAAAUGCGAUACGUAAUGUGAAUUGCAGAAUUCAGUGAAUCAUCGAGUCUUUGAACGCACAUUGCGCCCUCUGGUAUUCCGGGGGGCAUGCCUGUCCGAGCGUCAUUGCUGCCCUCAAGCACGGCUUGUGUGUUGGGCCUCCGUCCUCCUCCCGGGGGACGGGCCCGAAAGGCAGCGGCGGCACCGCGUCCGGUCCUCGAGCGUAUGGGGCUUCGUCACCCGCUCUUGUAGGCCCGGCCGGCGCUUGCCGACACAUCAAUCUUUUUUCCAGGUUGACCUCGGAUCAGGUAGGGAUACCCGCUGAACUUAAGCAUAUCAAUAAGCGGAGGA